UGCUGACGAGUGGCGGACGGGUGAGUAAUGUCUGGGAAACUGCCUGAUGGAGGGGGAUAACUACUGGAAACGGUGGCUAAUACCGCAUAACGUCGCAAGACCAAAGAGGGGGACCUUCGGGCCUCUUGCCAUCAGAUGUGCCCAGAUGGGAUUAGCUUGUUGGUGAGGUAACGGCUCACCAAGGCGACGAUCCCUAGCUGGUCUGAGAGGAUGACCAGCCACACUGGAACUGAGACACGGUCCAGACUCCUACGGGAGGCAGCAGUGGGGAAUAUUGCACAAUGGGCGCAAGCCUGAUGCAGCCAUGCCGCGUGUAUGAAGAAGGCCUUCGGGUUGUAAAGUACUUUCAGCGGGGAGGAAGGUGUUGUGGUUAAUAACCGCAGCAAUUGACGUUACCCGCAGAAGAAGCACCGGCUAACUCCGUGCCAGCAGCCGCGGUAAUACGGAGGGUGCAAGCGUUAAUCGGAAUUACUGGGCGUAAAGCGCACGCAGGCGGUCUGUCAAGUCGGAUGUGAAAUCCCCGGGCUCAACCUGGGAACUGCAUUCGAAACUGGCAGGCUUGAGUCUUGUAGAGGGGGGUAGAAUUCCAGGUGUAGCGGUGAAAUGCGUAGAGAUCUGGAGGAAUACCGGUGGCGAAGGCGGCCCCCUGGACAAAGACUGACGCUCAGGUGCGAAAGCGUGGGGAGCAAACAGGAUUAGAUACCCUGGUAGUCCACGCCGUAAACGAUGUCUACUUGGAGGUUGUGCCCUUGAGGCGUGGCUUCCGGAGCUAACGCGUUAAGUAGACCGCCUGGGGAGUACGGCCGCAAGGUUAAAACUCAAAUGAAUUGACGGGGGCCCGCACAAGCGGUGGAGCAUGUGGUUUAAUUCGAUGCAACGCGAAGAACCUUACCUGGUCUUGACAUCCACAGAACUUUCCAGAGAUGGAUUGGUGCCUUCGGGAACUGUGAGACAGGUGCUGCAUGGCUGUCGUCAGCUCGUGUUGUGAAAUGUUGGGUUAAGUCCCGCAACGAGCGCAACCCUUAUCCUUUGUUGCCAGCGGUCCGGCCGGGAACUCAAAGGAGACUGCCAGUGAUAAACUGGAGGAAGGUGGGGAUGACGUCAAGUCAUCAUGGCCCUUACGACCAGGGCUACACACGUGCUACAAUGGCGCAUACAAAGAGAAGCGACCUCGCGAGAGCAAGCGGACCUCAUAAAGUGCGUCGUAGUCCGGAUUGGAGUCUGCAACUCGACUCCAUGAAGUCGGAAUCGCUAGUAAUCGUGGAUCAGAAUGCCACGGUGAAUACGUUCCCGGGCCUUGUACACACCGCCCGUCACACCAUGGGAGUGGGUUGCAAAAGAAGUAGGUAGCUUAACCUUCGGGGGGGCGCUUACCACUUUGUGAUUCAUGACUGGGGUGAAGUCGUAACAAGGUAACCGUAGGGGAACCUGCGGUUGGAUCACCUCCUUACCUUAAAGAAGC
RNAcentral lists this ribosomal RNA (1462 nucleotides) under Salmonella enterica subsp. enterica serovar Typhi. RNAcentral's name for it is "bacterial SSU rRNA". It matches the Rfam family "Bacterial small subunit ribosomal RNA". The record is from RNAcentral. Lineage: Bacteria; Pseudomonadati; Pseudomonadota; Gammaproteobacteria; Enterobacterales; Enterobacteriaceae.